ACUACGGGAGGCAGCAGUGAGGAAUAUUGGUCAAUGGGCGGAAGCCUGAACCAGCCAAGUAGCGUGCAGGAUGACGGCCCUACGGGUUGUAAACUGCUUUUAUACGGGAAUAACGCGCCUUACGUGUAGGGCUUUGCAUGUACCGUAUGAAUAAGGACCGGCUAAUUCCGUGCCAGCAGCCGCGGUAAUACGGAAGGUCAGUGCGUUAUCCGGAUUUAUUGGGUUUAAAGGGAGCGUAGGCGGCAUGUGAAGCGUGCUGUGAAAUGUCCGGGCUCAACCCGGGCCUUGCAGCGCGAACUGGCGUGCUUGAGUCCGCGGAAAGCAGGCGGAAUUCGUCGUGUAGCGGUGAAAUGCUUAGAUAUGACGAAGAACCCCGAUUGCGAAGGCAGCUUGCUGCAGCGGAACUGACGCUGAUGCUCGAAAGCGCGGGUAUCGAACAGGAUUAGAUACCCGAGUAGUC
This 460-nucleotide ribosomal RNA is filed under the name uncultured bacterium. Its description in RNAcentral is "partial 16S ribosomal RNA". It matches the Rfam family "Bacterial small subunit ribosomal RNA", at positions 338 to 795 of the family's 1533-position model. The record is from RNAcentral.